GUCUCCUGCCCCAUAAGAGGAGGACUUCACAUCGCUCUGAGAGACAAGCUCAUGACUGCUCUGCUGUGUGAGCCUGCCUGUCUCUGUCUUCGUCGUCCGCUCUUCGGUGUGCAUGGCCGGGUGGCCCUUGCUGGAGCCUAGGACCCACUAGAAAUAGAAACUGCAAGCCAU
Long non-coding RNA from Pipistrellus kuhlii (Kuhl's pipistrelle), 171 nucleotides. RefSeq lists it as uncharacterized. Lineage: Eukaryota; Metazoa; Chordata; Mammalia; Chiroptera; Vespertilionidae. The transcript is spliced from 3 exons. The record is from RefSeq and is a predicted model, not a curated record.